Long non-coding RNA from Oncorhynchus tshawytscha (Chinook salmon), 1671 nucleotides. NCBI's taxonomy places the organism in Eukaryota, Metazoa, Chordata, Actinopteri, Salmoniformes, Salmonidae. The record is from Ensembl.
ACUCAGUGUAUUCGCUAGUCUUGUUAUUGCCCGGCACAGCAGUUAUAAUAAGAGACCUUUUGACCCUGGGGGGGGGUUAUGUGUGCUGAAGUCCCACACUAUAGAACAUUAUGAAUGCUGGUUUGUCUCAAUUUUUGUUACUUUAUUAUGUGGUAAUCAAAUAUUUUUUGUGUUUGUAACAUGAGUAGACAUUAAUUACAGGUAAUAAGCCAACUAUAAGAGUAAAAAUCAUUAUUUCUACCACUGUGCAUUAUGCAGAUAAAUACGAUUUUAUUCAUUCAUUUCUUCAGCUCAAAAUCUCCCCGUUGCUUGAACAGAUCAUCAAAGUCACUUUCAGUAUGCAGAAAGAAGUAUUUACUCUGCUCAAUGUCCUGAGCAGCAAUGAUCCGGGCCAGCAGAAAUUCUUCAAUGACCUUGGAUUCACAGGGCCUGUGUUGAACUCUGUGUGUGACGUUCCUGUAGGGUUCAAUGACCAGGAGCCCAGACAUGCCUUUGGAUUUUGUCAACGAGGGGGUCUCCUGAAUAUUUCUCUGUAGGAACUCUGUAUAAGUCUUUAUCAAGCCAGGGAUACUGAGUUGAUAGUACUGGUUCAGUACAUCUACAGGGCCUUCUGGUAAGGCAGUUAGACGGAACCAAUGGAUCCGCAUGUGCAUGUGGAACGCUGCCCCGUUCAGCCACUGUUUCACGCCAGCGGAGCUCAUGCUACUCUCUAUGACCAACUUUGAAUAGAAGUUAUCCAGUUCCUGUUUAAGUUUCUCGUCAUAAUGUUUGAGGAGCUCUGCCAUCCUCUUCUUAUCAUUGGCUAUACCAGGAACUUGCUUUAGGUACUCACUGACAAUAGGGCCGAUUUCUGAAGAGUAAUCCGCUCCAAAGAUCCUCCUUAUGGGGUCUAUGUAUGACCUUUGCUCAUGGAUCUGGUGAGUCAAGACCUCAAAGAGCAGUGACAGCGCCAGCGCCACAAUACCCAGACCUCCCAGGCUCACCUUGGUGCUCCCUCCAAAUGCAGACGUCAGAUCCUGGUUAAAGGCUGUUAGUUGCUCAGCCGACAUGUUCUGCUGGAUGGCUGCAUAUUGAUGUUCCAGAGCAGCAGUGGAGUUGCGGGAUAGGAAGUUGGUGAGGGUUCUGUCCAGGGAGAUGUCAGGAACGAUGCCUGCAUGGCUGGCUACCUCAAACAGACAGUUUAUAGUUUCUGAAGAUGGACUGCAUGCUUUGUUACCCAUGUUUGGGCUGUGCUGUCUGUCUAACACGCUCCUCUUUCCUAAGACUUGUCGAAUACUGCCUGUUUAUUUAAACACAUGAUGGGCUCAGAGUCUGAAGGACAUUGUCCCGGCUAGGACAAACAUCUAAUAACCAAACAGCGGAAUCUAGGGUUAUUAGAUGUCGGCAAAUCUUUCAGCCAAUGAAAAAUCAGGUCAUUGACUGAUGCUGACUUCAGACACAAACAGUACAUACAUUUAUGCUGACACAGACUCAGCGUCUGGUUACACAAUGCAUUCUUUAUCUAGCCAUCCCAAAAUAUAAAAUUCACCGCUACCUUUGAUACUACCACUAUACCCUUUAAAUUAACUUAUUCCAUUACUUUCCAGAUUGCAGCUAACAUUAAAUCACCUUAAUUAUAGUCAUGAUUGACUGUUCUUUUUGGCUAUGAAUUACUUUUCUGCAAUUCAAAAC